This 894-nucleotide ribosomal RNA is filed under the name Stephanonectria keithii. Its description in RNAcentral is "LSU rRNA". It matches the Rfam family "Eukaryotic large subunit ribosomal RNA", at positions 38 to 965 of the family's 3401-position model. Lineage: Eukaryota; Fungi; Ascomycota; Sordariomycetes; Hypocreales; Nectriaceae. The record is from RNAcentral.
GCAUAUCAAUAAGCGGAGGAAAAGAAACCAACAGGGAUUGCCCCAGUAACGGCGAGUGAAGCGGCAACAGCUCAAAUUUGAAAUCUGGCCCUAGGCCCGAGUUGUAAUUUGCAGAGGAUGUUUCUGGCGACGCGCCUUCCGAGUUCCCUGGAACGGGACGCCAUAGAGGGUGAGAGCCCCGUACGGUUGGAUGCCUAGCCUCUGUGAAACUCCUUCGACGAGUCGAGUAGUUUGGGAAUGCUGCUCUAAAUGGGAGGUAUACGUCUUCUAAAGCUAAAUAUAGGCCAGAGACCGAUAGCGCACAAGUAGAGUGAUCGAAAGAUGAAAAGCACUUUGAAAAGAGGGUUAAAUAGUACGUGAAAUUGUUGAAAGGGAAGCACUUAUGACCAGACUUGGGCAGGUUGAUCAUCCGUCGUUCUCGGCGGUGCACUCUGCCUGCCCAGGCCAGCAUCAGUUCGCUUCGGGGGAUAAAGGUUUCGGGAAUGUAGCUCCUUCGGGAGUGUUAUAGCCCGUUGCGUAAUACCCUGGGGUGGACUGAGGUUCGCGCAUCUGCAAGGAUGCUGGCGUAAUGGUCAUCAGUGACCCGUCUUGAAACACGGACCAAGGAGUCGUCUUCGUAUGCGAGUGUUCGGGUGUCAAACCCCUACGCGUAAUGAAAGUGAACGUAGGUGAGAGCUUCGGCGCAUCACCGACCGAUCCUGAUGUUCUCGGAUGGAUUUGAGUAAGAGCAUACGGGGCCGGACCCGAAAGAAGGUGAACUAUGCCUGUAUAGGGUGAAGCCAGAGGAAACUCUGGUGGAGGCUCGCAGCGGUUCUGACGUGCAAAUCGAUCGUCAAAUAUGGGCAUGGGGGGCGAAAGACUAAUCGAACCUUCUAGUAGCUGGUUUCCGCCGAA